RNAcentral lists this ribosomal RNA (465 nucleotides) under Hamus bowoensis. Its description in RNAcentral is "partial 16S ribosomal RNA". It matches the Rfam family "Bacterial large subunit ribosomal RNA", at positions 1808 to 2619 of the family's 2925-position model. Lineage: Eukaryota; Metazoa; Arthropoda; Arachnida; Araneae; Nesticidae. The record is from RNAcentral.
CAAAAACAUCUCUCACAGCAAUUAUUGUAAGUACUGCCUGCCCUUUGUAUUUUAACGGCCGCNNNNNNUUUACUGUGCUAAGGUAGCAUAAUCACUAGUUCUUUAAUUGAGAACUCGAAUGAAAGGCAAAACGAGAUUAUUCCUCUCUACCUUUCUCUAAUUAAAAUUAUAUUAAGUAUAAAAAUAUGCUUAUAAAUAUAAAAGACGACAAGACCCUAUUAAACUUUACAUUUGUUUUACUGGGACAGUAUACAAAUAAUUAUUUUAUUUAAUACCCUUCAAUGAACCCAUACAAUAGGAUUAACCAAGCUACUAUAGGGAUAACAGCGUUAAUUUUUAUAAAAGUUCUUAUUAAAUAAAAUUUUUGCGACCUCGAUGUUGAAUUAAUUUACCUAUUUUACGCAAUAGUCCUAACAGUUGGUCUGUUCGACCAGUUAUAAAUUACAUGAUCUGAGUUCAAACCGG